Molecule: ribosomal RNA, 870 nt
Filed under: uncultured archaeon
Lineage: Archaea
Description: bacterial SSU rRNA
Rfam family: Archaeal small subunit ribosomal RNA
Source: RNAcentral
UCCGGUUGAUCCUGCCGGACCUGACUGCUAUCGGAUUGGUACUAAGCCAUGCGAGUCAUUGUAGCAAUACAAGGCGGACGGCUCAGUAACACGUAGUCAACCUAACUCGUGGACGUGGAUAACCUCGGGAAACUGAGAAUAAACCACGAUAGAUCAUAGUGCCUGGAAUGGCUUAUGGUCCAAACAGUUUACUGCCAUGGGAUGGGACUGCGGCCUAUCAGCUUGUUGGUGAGGUAAUGGCCCACCAAGGCGAUUACAGGUACGGGCUCUGAGAGGAGAAGCCCGGAGAUGGGUACUGAGACACGGACCCAGGCCCUAUGGGGCGCAGCAGGCGAGAAACCUUAGCAAUGUGCGAAAGCACGACUGGGUCAGUCCGAGUGAUUCCUGAUAAAGGAGUCUUUUGCCUGUCCUAAAAGCACAGGUGAAUAAGGGGUGGGCAAGUCUGGUGUCAGCCGCCGCGGUAAUACCAGCACCUCGAGUGGUCAGGACGUUUAUUGGGCCUAAAGCAUCCGUAGCCGGCUCUGCAAGUCUUCGGUUAAAUCCACCUGCUCAACAGAUGGGCCGCUGGAGAUACUACAGAGCUAGGGAGUGGGAGAGGCAGACGGUAUUCAGUGGGUAGGGGUAAAAUCCUCUGAUCCAUUGAGGACCACCAGUGGCGAAAGCGGUCUGCCAGAACACGUUCGACGGUGAGGGAUGAAAGCUGGGGGAGCAAACCGGAUUAGAUACCCGGGUAGUCCCAGCUGUAAACGAUGCAAACUCGGUGAUGCAUUGGCUUAUGGCCAAUGCAGUGCCGCAGGGAAGCCGUUAAGUUUGCCGCCUGGGAAGUACGGACGCAAGUCUGAACUUAAAGGAAUUGGCGGGGGAGCACAA